This 404-nucleotide ribosomal RNA is filed under the name Actinomycetes bacterium. Its description in RNAcentral is "Actinobacteria bacterium partial 16S ribosomal RNA". It matches the Rfam family "Bacterial small subunit ribosomal RNA", at positions 355 to 776 of the family's 1533-position model. Lineage: Bacteria; Bacillati; Actinomycetota; Actinomycetes. The record is from RNAcentral. RNAcentral also lists the same sequence under 1 other name.
UGGGGAAUAUUGGACAAUGGGCGCAAGCCUGAUCCAGCCAUGCCGCGUGAGUGAUGAAGGCCCUAGGGUUGUAAAGCUCUUUCACCGGUGAAGAUAAUGACGGUAACCGGAGAAGAAGCCCCGGCUAACUUCGUGCCAGCAGCCGCGGUAAUACGAAGGGGGCUAGCGUUAUUCGGAUUUACUGGGCGUAAAGCGCACGUAGGCGGACUUUUAAGUCAGGGGUGAAAUCCCGGGGCUCAACCCCGGAACUGCCUUUGAUACUGGAAGUCUUGAGUAUGGUAGAGGUGAGUGGAAUUCCGAGUGUAGAGGUGAAAUUCGUAGAUAUUCGGAGGAACACCAGUGGCGAAGGCGGCUCACUGGACCAUUACUGACGCUGAGGUGCGAAAGCGUGGGGAGCAAACAGG